CUUGGCACUGGCGGAAUAAUCACGUGAUAAAAUCAGUGAUUGUUACCUGGUGUCAAAAA
RNAcentral lists this microRNA precursor (59 nucleotides) under Lottia gigantea (owl limpet). Its description in RNAcentral is "Lgi-Mir-96-P1h_pre stem-loop". The record is from RNAcentral. Lineage: Eukaryota; Metazoa; Mollusca; Gastropoda; Lottiidae.